This 492-nucleotide ribosomal RNA is filed under the name uncultured bacterium. Its description in RNAcentral is "partial 16S ribosomal RNA". It matches the Rfam family "Bacterial small subunit ribosomal RNA", at positions 30 to 507 of the family's 1533-position model. The record is from RNAcentral.
AUUGAACGCUGGCGGCAUGCUUUACACAUGCAAGUCGAACGGUAACAGGCCUUCGGGUGCUGACGAGUGGCGGACGGGUGCGUAAUGCAUCGGAACGUGCCCCGAGGUGGUGGAUAACGCAGCGCAAGCUGUGCUAAUACCGCAUGUGAUCUGAGGUUGAAAGCGGGGGACCAGGCUGCAAUGUUUGGCCUCGCGCCUUUGGAGCGGCCGAUGUCAGAUUAGGUAGUUGGUGGGGUAAAGGCCUACCAAGCCGACGAUCUGUAGCUGGUCUGAGAGGACGACCAGCCACACUGGGACUGAGACACGGCCCAGACUCCUACGGGAGGCAGCAGUGGGGAAUUUUGGACAAUGGGCGCAAGCCUGAUCCAGCAAUGCCGCGUGAGGGAAGAAGGCCUUCGGGUUGUAAACCGCUUUUGUAAGGAACGAAAAGGCUCUGGCUAAUACCUGGGGCUGAUGACGGUACCGUAAGAAUAAGCACCGGCUAACUACGUG